Non-coding RNA from Ornithorhynchus anatinus (platypus), 72 nucleotides. NCBI's taxonomy places the organism in Eukaryota, Metazoa, Chordata, Mammalia, Monotremata, Ornithorhynchidae. The record is from Rfam.
AGCAGCGUGGCUCAGUGGAAAGAGCACAGGCUUGGGAAUCUGAGGUCAUGGGUUCAAAUCCCAGCUGUGCCA